RNAcentral lists this ribosomal RNA (407 nucleotides) under uncultured prokaryote. RNAcentral describes it as "bacterial SSU rRNA". It matches the Rfam family "Bacterial small subunit ribosomal RNA", at positions 355 to 776 of the family's 1533-position model. RNAcentral also lists the same sequence under 1 other name. The record is from RNAcentral.
UGGGGAAUAUUGGACAAUGGACCAAAAGUCUGAUCCAGCAAUUCUGUGUGCACGAUGACGGUCUUCGGAUUGUAAAGUGCUUUCAGUUGGGAAGAAAGAAAUGACGGUACCAACAGAAGAAGCGACGGCUAAAUACGUGCCAGCAGCCGCGGUAAUACGUAUGUCGCAAGCGUUAUCCGGAUUUAUUGGGCGUAAAGCGCGUCUAGGUGGUUUGAUAAGUCUGAUGUGAAAAUGCGGAGCUCAACUCCGUAUUGCGUUGGAAACUGUCAAACUAGAGUAUCGGAGAGGUGGGCGGAACUACAAGUGUAGAGGUGAAAUUCGUAGAUAUUUGUAGGAAUGCCGAUAGAGAAGUCAGCUCACUGGACGAAUACUGACACUGAAGCGCGAAAGCAUGGGGAGCAAACAGG